CCAAGAAAAAAUGUUUAGAAAUUGAUUAUCUCUUAUAAUUUCAACUACCAAACCUCAAAAGUUGACUACCAAACACCACCAAACGACCACCAAACGAUGUCAAAAGGAAUUUUCGAAAAAUAUAUAAAUGUGCAGUGCAGCCGUGAAGUUAGCACUGAAAAUUUAUAAUCGUUGUAACUUUCUUAAUUUUGACUACCAAACCUCCAAACUUGGAUACCAAACACCACCAAACGACCACCAAACGAUUCCAUACAACAAAAUCUAUUUUCCUUAUAUUGGCAGUGCCAACUUCACGGAGCUGAUAUAUGUCAAAAAAAAAAAAAAACACAAAACCUUAUAAAUCUCUAAAUAAUCGAAAUUUAAAACAUCAUGUAUUUUCUGAUAAAAGAAAAUUAGAAAUAAAAGCAAUAACAGUUCACCAAAUAUUAAAUAAUGAAAAAAAGCAAUAAAUAUAUAUAUACGCAAAACACGACAGCAGACAAUUGUAGGGUUUGUGUAAAUAAAAGAAAGUUGUAACUCACCUAAUUGUCUCUUUGGAACUUGAAAAUAACGACUUAUCGCUCCUGCCA
Molecule: long non-coding RNA, 569 nt
Organism: Leptopilina boulardi
Lineage: Eukaryota; Metazoa; Arthropoda; Insecta; Hymenoptera; Figitidae
Exons: 2
Source: RefSeq, a predicted model, not a curated record